UACGUAGGGUGCAAGCGUUGUCCGGAAUUAUUGGGCGUAAAGAGCUCGUAGGCGGCUUGUCGCGUCGGCUGUGAAAACCUGAGGCUCAACCUCGGGCUUGCAGCCGAUACGGGCAAGCUAGAAUUCGGUAGGGGAGACUGGAAUUCCUGGUGUAGCGGUGAAAUGCGCAGAGUAUCAGGAGGAACACCGGUGGCGAAAGCGGCUCACUGGACCAUUACUGACGCUGAUGCUCGAAAGCUAGGGGAGCAAACAGG
RNAcentral lists this ribosomal RNA (254 nucleotides) under uncultured bacterium. RNAcentral's name for it is "partial 16S ribosomal RNA". It matches the Rfam family "Bacterial small subunit ribosomal RNA", at positions 524 to 776 of the family's 1533-position model. The record is from RNAcentral.